UCAAGCCAGUGAUGAUAAAAGUUAUCCCUGUCUGAACUUAAGUGUGGACUCAUGGUAACCUGAGGCUUGA
Sander lucioperca (pikeperch) is the source of this 70-nucleotide small nucleolar RNA. NCBI's taxonomy places the organism in Eukaryota, Metazoa, Chordata, Actinopteri, Perciformes, Percidae. The record is from Ensembl.